This is a non-coding RNA of Bactrocera oleae (olive fruit fly), 602 nucleotides long. The record is from RefSeq and is a predicted model, not a curated record. NCBI's taxonomy places the organism in Eukaryota, Metazoa, Arthropoda, Insecta, Diptera, Tephritidae.
AGUCAUCGUCGCGGUGUCAACAAAACUGGUAUAUUAAGCAGAAGGAAUUAUAACGGAAAUAUAUAUAUUAUAAAACAACAACACCUGCUACAGUGAUUCUUAACAACUUGUUUAUAAAAAAUUGUGCCGUCUGUAAAGACACCAAACGCUUUAAUUGAAAAAUAUGUCGCUUGUUCGUCACUUUACCCAUUUACGUAUGCCCUCCGAAGCAACGGAUGAUAAGCGAACGAUUGGAAAAUGAGUGAAAGGCGAAGAACUUCAUUUAAUUAUGUACCGACCAAAAGUUGCUAUAAAGCGGGUCGACAGCACAAGGACAACAGCUGUUAUCGUGUUACUUGCGAUGGCCAUUUUGGUCGUUAACGGUACAACCAGUAGAGGUCCCUCAUGUACUCGCCAACAACUCACUUUAUUUCCCGCCUUUUGAGGCCGUAGAUUUUCAUCAAGAUGUCCAUUAAGUUAUUUAUCGUCGUAUUUGUAAUUUUUAAUAAAGACAAUAAUUGCACAAAAAUUUUCUUAUUAUGUUAUUGAGUGACAUAAAAGCGUUCACUUUGUAUUUUCCUUUAAACGUACGAAUGAAAUGUGUAGAAAUGAAAUGAAUCAAG